This 426-nucleotide ribosomal RNA is filed under the name uncultured bacterium. RNAcentral describes it as "bacterial SSU rRNA". It matches the Rfam family "Bacterial small subunit ribosomal RNA", at positions 356 to 774 of the family's 1533-position model. The record is from RNAcentral.
AGGGAAUAUUGGACAAUGGGGGCAACCCUGAUCCAGCCAUGCCGCGUGAGUGAAGAAGGCCCUCGGGUUGUAAAGCUCUUUUGACCGGAAAGAAAAGCAUUCGGUGAAUACCCGGAUGUUCUGACGGUACCGGAAGAAUAAGCACCGGCUAACUUCGUGCCAGCAGCCGCGGUAAUACGAAGGGUGCAAGCGUUACUCGGAAUUACUGGGCGUAAAGCGUGCGUAGGUGGUUGUUUAAGUCUGAUGUGAAAGCCCUGGGCUCAACCUGGGAAUGGCAUUGGAAACUGGGCAGCUAGAGUGCGGUAGAGGGUAGUGGAAUACCCGGUGUAGCAGUGAAAUGCGUAGAGAUCGGGAGGAACAUCUGUGGCGAAGGCGACUGCCUGGACCAGCACUGACACUGAGGCACGAAAGCGUGGGGAGCAAACA